RNAcentral lists this ribosomal RNA (302 nucleotides) under Mucochytrium quahogii. RNAcentral describes it as "labyrinthulid quahog parasite QPX partial Bacterial small subunit ribosomal RNA". It matches the Rfam family "Bacterial small subunit ribosomal RNA", at positions 23 to 329 of the family's 1533-position model. The record is from RNAcentral. Lineage: Eukaryota; Bigyra; Thraustochytrida; Thraustochytriidae.
CUCAGAUUGAACGCUGGCGGCAGGCCUAACACAUGCAAGUCGAACGGUAACAUUUCUAGCUUGCUAGAAGAUGACGACUGGCGGACGGGUGAGUAAUGCUUGGGAACUUGCCUUUGCGAGGGGGAUAACAGUUGGAAACGACUGCUAAUACCGCAUAAUGUCUUCGGACCAAACGGGGCUUCGGCUCCGGCGCAAAGAGAGGCCCAAGUGAGAUUAGCUAGUUGGUAAGGUAACGGCUUACCAAGGCGACGAUCUCUAGCUGUUCUGAGAGGAAGAUCAGCCACACUGGGACUGAGACACGG